GGCCUAUUGAGAGAAGAUUUUAGGUCUAACCUGCCCCCUGAAGUAUUUAAAUGGCCGCAGUAUUUUGACUGUGCUAAGGUAGCAUAAUAAUUAGUUUUUUAAUUGAAAGCUAGAAUGAAUGGUAUUAUGAAAAAAUUACUGUCUCUUUUAAAAAAUUAAAAUUUUAUUUUUAAGUUAAAAAGCUUAAAUAUUAUUAAAAGACGAGAAGACCCUAUAGAAUUUUAUUUAAAUUUAUUUUUAAUAAGUUAGUAUGUAAAAUUUAAAAAUAAAUUUAUAUUUAGUUGGGGUGAUUAGAAAAAUAAAGUAUCUUUUUUUUAUAUAAACAUUAAUUUAUGAUUUUAUGAUUCACAUUAGUGAUUUAAGAAUAAAUUACCUUAGGGAUAACAGCGUAAUUUUUUUUUAGAGUUCUAAUCAAAAAAAAAGAUUGCGACCUCGAUGUUGGAUUAAAGUUUAUUUUUGGUGUAGUAGCUAAAAUAUUAAGUCUGUUCGACUUUGAAAAUUUUACA
Molecule: ribosomal RNA, 506 nt
Filed under: Plateumaris shirahatai
Lineage: Eukaryota; Metazoa; Arthropoda; Insecta; Coleoptera; Chrysomelidae
Description: partial 16S ribosomal RNA
Rfam family: Bacterial large subunit ribosomal RNA (bases 380-506)
Source: RNAcentral